CAGAGAUAUCACAUGAAUUUACCAAAAGCUCAUUCACAUCAGCAUUUAGAAUUACUUUUUUUUUUUUUUUUUUUUUUUCUGCAACAUUUCUCUGCUUAUAAUCUAGUUCAUACUGAAUAGCAAUUUCUAUUUUGACCUAUUACACAGUUGCAUAGUUCUCUGCUCUCCUUGAAGGGCAAAUUGGAUUGGCAUAAUAUUUAGUUCCUUUUUCUGAAGAGAGCUUUUGUCUCUGUAAUUGGUUCUUAACUGGUGAGGGCUUAGACAUGAACUCCCUGAAAUUUGUGUGUGAGCUACAACUCGAGUUAAAUGACACUUGUCCAUGCAUGAUGCAUGGAAGAUUUGGGGCAACUGCUGUCAUCAGGUCUCUAACACAAGCUUUAGUGACAUUUAUUGACGGAGGAUUCCCACUCUGUUUCCAGUUCUUGGGUGAAGUGAAGCCUGCUACAUCACAAUGAGGCUUUAUGAUGUGUUCGGUAUGCCUCACAUAUUAUGAUUUUCAGCCAGCAAGGGGAAACAGUGGGCCAGAUAUGCUAUGGUCUGCUAAUCCAGAGAAGAUAAAAUGAGUCUGCAUGCUCAGUCUAGACUUAUGCCAAAACCUCUGGAUGCACACUGUUUCCCUCCUCUGCUGCAUUACACAAGAGUGGCAUCCAUCAGAACUCCAGGAGUGCUUUUACAGCCUAUGAAGUCACAUGUUGUCCUGUUGAGUGCAGCUGAGCAGAACAAUGCAGGAAUAACUGCUGUAUCAGGCAAAGGUCCACUGAGCUCACUGUCCUUAUCGACCCCAAACCUGUAACAGAUGUUUAGGGAAGAAUCUGAGAAUAAGACUGUUAUUUGUUGUUCUUCAGAAUGUCCUCUUGUCCUUCUUUAGUGAUUUAUGACUCUGGAACUUCUUUUGCCAGAAGUGUCUUCAUAUUUGAAUUGAUAACUCAACCUUUCAUCACAGUGUUAACAUAGAUAGAAGUCUAUAGAGAAGACUAACUAUGUAGUGAAAGUUUAAAGAAUCAGGAUAUUAUUUUUCAUUGCUUCCUAAAUUGCAUCAGGAAAUAUGGAUAAUAAUGUCUCAAAAAUGUGUUUUGUUUGCUUGUUUGUUGAAAGAGCUAACAUAUAUUUUCAUCUGGGUAAAUAGUUCUAUUGUAUAAAUACGUGUCUAUCUCCAUAUCAUGAAAAUUCUUCUACUGAGCAGGGAGUGAAUAUGUAAUCACUCUUUAUACUAAGAUGUUAAUGCUUUUAGAUGUAUGUUGGCUGACAGUUUGAUUUGGCUGUUGGUUGCAGCUCUUUUUUUGUUUGUUUGCUUUUAACUAUCAAUGAAUAUCUUACUGAGGA
This 1323-nucleotide long non-coding RNA is filed under the name Anas platyrhynchos platyrhynchos (common mallard). Its description in RNAcentral is "lncRNA (ENSAPLG00000017768.1)". The record is from RNAcentral. Lineage: Eukaryota; Metazoa; Chordata; Aves; Anseriformes; Anatidae.